RNAcentral lists this long non-coding RNA (365 nucleotides) under Homo sapiens (human). RNAcentral's name for it is "non-protein coding lnc-SS18-1:1". Lineage: Eukaryota; Metazoa; Chordata; Mammalia; Primates; Hominidae. The record is from RNAcentral.
GGAGUUUCUGCUUCCUGUCUUUGGGAGCCGUGAGCUACCUGCUAAGAAGGUUAGACCACUCCACUUAAGAGAGAGGCCACGUGCACAAGCACUGAAGGACUAGAUGUGUGAGCAAGGAGGCCAUCUUGGGGAACAGCCAGCCCAGCCGAGCCUACAGAAGACUCCAGCCCCAGUCAUUUGAUGGCAGCCACAGAAGGAAGCCAAGCAAUGCCCAGCUGAGCUCAGAUAAAAAGCGACUCAAGGGAGGACAUGUCUGUGUUUUUCUGCCUGACAUUGUUGUGUCUACACUGAUUUCUGGAACGAUGAAAGCUAUAUUCUGACCAUAAAGGGACAGCUCUCAGGACAGCCAGUAAGCUGAGGAUGAC